Solanum tuberosum (potato) is the source of this 290-nucleotide long non-coding RNA. RefSeq lists it as uncharacterized. The transcript has 3 exons. Lineage: Eukaryota; Viridiplantae; Streptophyta; Magnoliopsida; Solanales; Solanaceae. The record is from RefSeq and is a predicted model, not a curated record.
AUGAAGGCGAUAUUGAUCCUUUAUUUCCACCGAUAUCAAUUUUUAAUCAAAAUGAUCGAGGAUCUAAAAAGCGUGGAAAGCUAGGCUUCACUGAUAUGGAAAUGCAAUCAGCUGUGAUACAUAUUUUGCUUAAUUGUCCAGAGAUUCAACCAUAUGUCAACUUGUUCGUAAACACAUGGGGUAAUGAAGCCAUAUAUACAGAAUUUUCCAAAUGGCUGAGGAACUAUGUUUACGAUGAAUACUCAAGUGUCCAACAUUUGCAAUUAGUGAAAGAAGUAACACUUGGACCU